UACAGAGGGUGCGAGCGUUAAUCGGAAUUACUGGGCGUAAAGCGUGCGUAGACGGUUAUUUAAGUCGGGUGUGAAAGCCCCGGGCUCAACCUGGGAAUUGCAUUCGAGACUGAAUAGCUAGGGUACGGUAGAGGGAAGUGGAAUUUCCGGUGUAGCGGUGAAAUUCGUAGAUAUCGAGAGGAACACCGGUGGCGAAGGCGGCCUUCUGGACAGCAACUGACGCUGAGACGCGAAAGCGUGGGGAGCAAACAGG
This 253-nucleotide ribosomal RNA is filed under the name uncultured bacterium. RNAcentral describes it as "partial 16S ribosomal RNA". It matches the Rfam family "Bacterial small subunit ribosomal RNA", at positions 524 to 776 of the family's 1533-position model. The record is from RNAcentral.